CGCGUCAGAUGUGUAAAAGAGACAGGUGAGUCAUCGAAUCUUUGAACGCACAUUGCGCCCUUUGGUAUUCCGAGGGGCAUGCCUGUUCGAGCGUCAUUUAAAAACAUCAAGCGCGGCUUGGUCUUGGGUGGGGUCUCUGGACCCGCCUGUAACUGGUUGGCGGCACCGCCCGGCUUUAAGCGUAGCAAGUUUUACCCUCGCUUCGGAGCCUGUGUGGGGACUAGCCCAAGGUACCUCUAAAGUUUGACCUCGGAUCAGGUAGGGAUACCCGCUGAACUUAAGCAUAUCAAUAAGCGGAGG
This 300-nucleotide unclassified non-coding RNA is filed under the name uncultured Ascomycota. RNAcentral describes it as "sequence contains 5.8S rRNA gene, ITS2". The stretch from base 1 to 96 matches the Rfam family "5.8S ribosomal RNA", at positions 54 to 154 of the family's 154-position model. The record is from RNAcentral. Lineage: Eukaryota; Fungi; Ascomycota.